This 544-nucleotide ribosomal RNA is filed under the name uncultured eukaryote. RNAcentral describes it as "eukaryotic LSU rRNA". It matches the Rfam family "Eukaryotic large subunit ribosomal RNA", at positions 798 to 1338 of the family's 3401-position model. The record is from RNAcentral.
GAACACACACGCUGCGACCCGAAAGAUGGUGAACUAUGCCCGAGUAGGGUGAAGUCAGGGGAAACCCUGAUGGAGGCUCGAAGCGGUUCUAACGUGCAAAUUGAUCGUCAAACUUGGGGUAUAGGGGCGAAAGACUAAUCGAACCAUCUAGUAGCUGGUUCCUCCCGAAAUUUCCCUUAGGAUAGCACCGACAAAUACGUAGUUGCAUCUGGUAAAGCGAAUGAUUAAAGAAUUCGGGGGCGCAAUGCCCUUGGUCUGUUCUCAAACUUUGAAUGGGUGCGACGCGCACGGCCGCUUAAUUGGGCCUGCGCCAUUUAGAAUACUUGUCGUUAGCGGGCUUUUCCUGGUAAGCAGGACUGGCGAUGCGGGAUGAACCGAUCAUGUCGUUAAAGCGUCCAACUCUCCGCUCAUCAGACCCCAUAAACGGCGUGGGUGAAUUUAGACAGUAGGACCGUGGCCAUGGAAGUCGGCACCGGCUAAGUAGUGUGUAACAACUAACCUACCGAAUUCACCUGCCCGGAAAAAGGAUGACGCUCAAGCGGGG